Molecule: long non-coding RNA, 643 nt
Filed under: Nicotiana benthamiana
Lineage: Eukaryota; Viridiplantae; Streptophyta; Magnoliopsida; Solanales; Solanaceae
Description: long non-coding RNA (NBEN_LNC010365)
Source: RNAcentral
CUCCUAGAUGCAUAAUCAAAAUUGACCUGCAGAAGGCAUAUGAUUCUGUCGAAUGGAUUUUCUUACAACAGGUAAUGGAUGCAAUGGGGUUUCCGGUUAGAUUCACAAGUUGGAUCAUGGAAUGUGUCCAAACAGUCAGCUAUACACUGAUGAUUAAUGGGGAAACAACUGAGCCUUUUAAAGCUGCUAAAGGCCAUAGACAAGGUGAUCCAAUCUCCCCAUUUCUAUUUGCAAUAGUAAUGGAGUAUUUAAGUAGAUCUCUGGCUGAACUGAAGAAAGACCAAGGAUUUUUAUUCCAUCCAGGUUGUAAAAGGGCUGGGCAUCACUCACAUCAGUUUUGCUGAUGAUCUACUUUUGUUUACUAAAUGUGAAAGUCAAUCUGUCAUUACCGUGUUCAAGUAUUUCUCCCAGUUCACAGAAGCAUCUGGGCUAAAAGCUAAUCUGAGCAAAAGUUCAGUUUACUUUGGAGGGGUUAGUUCUGAAGUCCAACAGCAUGGCUGAACUGAAGAAAGGCCAAGAUUUUGUAUUCCAUCCAGGUUGUAAAAGGCUAGGCAUCACUCACAUCAGUUUUGUUGAUGAUCUACUUCUGUUUGCUAAAGGUGAAAGGCAAUCUGUAAUUACCAUGUUCAAGUAUUUCUCUCAG